Non-coding RNA from Sorex fumeus (smoky shrew), 561 nucleotides. Lineage: Eukaryota; Metazoa; Chordata; Mammalia; Eulipotyphla; Soricidae. The record is from the annotation of a RefSeq genome assembly.
UUGUGCAGUUGUCUCCCUUGUGAGCUCCAAAUCCAAGUCCAGGGUGUCUCUGCAAUGGCCUGGCCUCCUGUCCUCCUCCUCUUCCUGCUAACUCAGUACCCAGGCUCCUGGGCACAGACUGGACUGACGCAGGAAGUCUCAGUGUCAGGGUCUGUGGGACAGACAGUCACCCUCUCCUGCACUGGAAACAGCAACAAUGUCGGUUAUUCUAGAACAGGCUGGUACCAGCAGAUACCUGGUGCUGCCCCCAAAACUGUGAUGAUUGAAAGUACUCGACCUACAGGGAUUCCAGCUAGGUUCACUGGUUCUUCAUCUGGAAACAAGGCCACUCUGACCAUCUCAGGCGUGCAGCCUGAGGAUGAGGCUGAUUAUUAUUGUUCUGCAUGGGACAAAAGUAUCAGCAAUGUCACAGUGCUUCAGACUCAAGGAGAAGUGAGACAAAAACCUAGGCAUGGUCUUAAUGAUCUCCACGUGUCAGCCUGUGCCAAACAGGAAACAGAGCUGUGGAGCCUGUACUUUCUGAGUGUGUCUGAGCACAAAGCCACUGAACAGGGUCAGUGA